AAUGGUAUGGUUUGUUGCAAAAGGAACUGUUGUUUUGGCAGAACACACCUGAUUUCCCCAUCGGACGACCACCAGACAACAACUGGUGUUUUUCAUAAGGUAAUUUAUUCUUGUUUUUGAACAAUUGCAAUUGACUAGAUUUCAUGGUUGAAUUACAUUUUGAUGGGGGUAACUUAUGAGAACUGCACUUUCAUUUUUCUUGUUUUAUUUGUUUAGAUUUCAUGCAAUGACUGGAUUACAUCUUUAUUGAAAUUUGGGAAUGUGAAUUGCCCUUGACUGCUUCGUUUGUUGGCAUUUGAAAAACAUACGGUAUCAAUAUAUUAUAUAUUAAUAAAAUGGUGACUUGGAUGUGAGGACCAUAUAACUAGAUUAAGUUUUCUAAAAGAAUUCAAUAAACAAUAUGUUUAGGGUGGUAAAAUUUGGAAGAAUCUAGUAAACUAUAUAUGCAUCUAUGGUAGUUUACCGGGGUUCAAGUCAAAACAUGUUCUAAGCAAGACAUGUUCUGGAAAAAUGGGCCAUUCAAAGCAAGUAUCCGUUUUUCUCAGAUCAAAAUGAGUUCAGCCCGAUCCGAUAUCAACUCGAGUUAAAAAGAGUUCUUUUACAUGUUCAUGUAUGGGGUUUUGUGAAAUGUGAUAUCCUAGAAGAAUAAAAAGCACGAUAGCACGUGUGAGUCAAACACAUCUUUAGAGUAUAGGGUCAGUCUGUAUAUAUGGUUUUACUUUACUUAACUUGGUGUUCAACCAUUGUUGGUAAGAUAGGCAGGUCGGGUAAAGUCGUAAAGGGCCGGAACAUGUUUAGGUUGAAGUCAGUCGAUUAGGCUUCAUGGUUGACUUUAACAAGUGGUGAUUCAUAUUCUUUGCUCACUAUAAUCGAUGUAUGCUUUUAUAACUCAUGACAAUAUACAUUUUUAGUACAAAUAUCUUGAUUGCAAUUAUCAGUUCAAAUGCACUUAUGUUUAUUGUAUUUUGUCAGUUUUACUGAAUCCUGUAUCAUUUUAUUUCGUGAUUUUAACAACCGGGUCAUUCUUGUUCAACUUUCAAUUGUACAGUAACAUCAUUUUGCAUCUACCCACAAAAAAGGGGAAUGUGGUGGGCUGGGUAACGGGUCAAAUGUGUCCUUAGUGUUUAAUAUUAGACCUUGGUGAUUUUGAUACCAUUAGACCCACCUGCAACUGUUGAAUUUGCAAGUGUUGUUUUUAACUAAAAAAAGACAGUUACAGAUGAUUUCCAUUUGUAUGCAGGGUUUAUACCAUGCUUCUUUUAAGGUGCCAGUUGUUUAUGGUGUUUUCCAAUUUAAGGUUGAAUAUCAGAGGCUUGGAUACACCAGCUUGUCACUAGCGAAACAGGUAAAACGCUAAAUAAUUACAAAACUUAUGAUCACACAUGGUAGGUAGUUAGAGAACGAUAUUCAAGUAUCCAACACCCUGCGUUUGCAGCCGAAACUUUAGUAUACUCGUAUCCUCCUUUUAUUCUUUUGCAGGUAAUCUAUAUCAGGGUACACUCAAUGGAAGAUGGGGCAUGGCUGGGUCUAAAUGAAGCCCUACAUCUUUUUUUCUCAUUGCUGCUCACACUAUGUGUUGAGUUUGUAUAACCACUUAGUACCUUACUACUUUAGCUUCUCAUAACAACUUUAGCCCUACAUCCCGUUAUUCUUUUUUGUGCCCAAUAACUGUACACACACAUGUACUAAUAAACUCAUGUGCAGCUUGCAGAAGGGCUCUGUCUUAGAAAAGAAGUCAUGUCCUUUAGGUGACCGGACCCGAGCGUAAGAUGAACAUCUGGAUUAAGGCAUCAACAAUAUGAAGAGAGGCCAGAGAUGGUCCGACAAUUAAGUUGCGGCAGGUGCUUUUCGAUACAUAACAGGUCCGCGAAUCAAAUUGUAGUUUAACUCAUACAAUGUCAAACUACAAAUGUUUGUCAUCACUGCCACAACACGCGGGUUGAAAGCACUAGUUACUACUAUUUUAAGAUGGUGAUAUAAACAAACUGCUAUGUAAUUUUUGGUUGUUUGAAUGUGAAUUACUGUU
Molecule: long non-coding RNA, 2026 nt
Filed under: Helianthus annuus (common sunflower)
Lineage: Eukaryota; Viridiplantae; Streptophyta; Magnoliopsida; Asterales; Asteraceae
Description: hypothetical non coding rna
Source: RNAcentral